RNAcentral lists this ribosomal RNA (1299 nucleotides) under metagenome. RNAcentral's name for it is "bacterial LSU rRNA". It matches the Rfam family "Bacterial large subunit ribosomal RNA", at positions 1636 to 2925 of the family's 2925-position model. The record is from RNAcentral.
ACACGACCGUACCGCAAACCGACACUGGUGCGCGAGAUGAGUAUUCUAAGGCGCUUGAGAGAACUCAGGAGAAGGAACUCGGCAAAUUGACACCGUAACUUCGGAAGAAGGUGUGCCUUUAGUAGGUGAACCUGUACAAGGGGAGCCCAAUGAGGUUGCAAAAAAUCGGUGGCUGCGACUGUUUAAUAAAAACACAGCACUCUGCAAACACGAAAGUGGACGUAUAGGGUGUGACGCCUGCCCGGUGCUGGAAGAUUAAAUGAUGGGGUGCAAGCUCUUGAUUGAAGUCCCAGUAAACGGCGGCCGUAACGAUAACGGUCCUAAGGUAGCGAAAUUCCUUGUCGGGUAAGUUCCGACCUGCACGAAUGGCGUAACGAUGGCCACACUGUCUCCUCCUGAGACUCAGCGAAGUUGAAAUGUUUGUGAUGAUGCAAUCUCCCCGCGGAAAGACGGAAAGACCCCAUGAACCUUUACUGUAGCUUUGUAUUGGACUUUGAACAGAUCUGUGUAGGAUAGGUGGGAGGCUUUGAAGUGUGGUCGCUAGAUCGCAUGGAGCCAACGUUGAAAUACCACCCUGGUGUGUUUGAGGUUCUAACCUAGGCCCGUAAUCCGGGUCGGGGACAGUGCAUGGUAGGCAGUUUGACUGGGGCGGUCUCCUCCCAAAGCGUAACGGAGGAGUUCGAAGGUACGCUAGGUACGGUCGGACAUCGUGCUAAUAGUGCAAUGGCAUAAGCGUGCUUAACUGCGAGACUGACAAGUCGAGCAGAUGCGAAAGCAGGACAUAGUGAUCCGGUGGUUCUGUAUGGAAGGGCCAUCGCUCAACGGAUAAAAGGUACUCUGGGGAUAACAGGCUGAUACCGCCCAAGAGUUCAUAUCGACGGCGGUGUUUGGCACCUCGAUGUCGGCUCAUCUCAUCCUGGGGCUGUAGCCGGUCCCAAGGGUAUGGCUGUUCGCCAUUUAAAGAGGUACGUGAGCUGGGUUUAAAACGUCGUGAGACAGUUUGGUCCCUAUCUUCCGUGGGCGCUGCAGAUUUGAGGAAGCCUGCUCCUAGUACGAGAGGACCGGAGUGGACACACCUCUGGUGUAUCGGUUGUCACGCCAGUGGCAUUGCCGAGUAGCUAUGUGUGGAAGAGAUAACCGCUGAAAGCAUCUAAGCGGGAAACUCGUUUCAAGAUGAGAUCUGCCGGGGCCUUGAGCCCCCUAAAGAGUCGUUCAAGACCAGGACGUUGAUAGGUCGGGUGUGGAAGCGCAGUAAUGCGUUAAGCUAACCGAUACUAAUUGCUCGUGCGGCUUGACCUA